CAGCCAUACCAUGCUGAAAAUAUCGGUUCUCGUUAGAUGACUGAAGUCAAACAUCAUUGGUCGCGGUCAGUACCUGGGUGGGUGACCACCUGGGAACACCGCGUGCAGU
This 109-nucleotide ribosomal RNA is filed under the name Caerostris darwini. The record is from RNAcentral. Lineage: Eukaryota; Metazoa; Arthropoda; Arachnida; Araneae; Araneidae.